AUGGGCCACUCGUACAUUGCGAUUCCGAGUGCGCCGUCCACCCCUGGCUGACGACUGCACGCUACGUUUUCAGGC
RNAcentral lists this small RNA (75 nucleotides) under Xanthomonas sp. NCPPB 1560. Its description in RNAcentral is "sX9 sRNA". It matches the Rfam family "Xanthomonas sRNA sX9". The record is from RNAcentral. RNAcentral also lists the same sequence under 7 other names. Lineage: Bacteria; Pseudomonadati; Pseudomonadota; Gammaproteobacteria; Lysobacterales; Lysobacteraceae.